UACGUAGGGGGCAAGCGUUGUCCGGAUUUAUUGGGCGUAAAGAGCGUGUAGGCGGCUAGGUAGGUCCGUUGUGAAAACUCGAGGCUCAACCUCGAGACGUCGAUGGAAACCAUCUAGCUAGAGUCCGGAAGAGGAGAGUGGAAUUCCUGGUGUAGCGGUGAAAUGCGCAGAUAUCGGGAAGAACACCUGUGGCGAAGGCGGCUCUCUGGGACGGUACUGACGCUGAGACGCGAAAGCGUGGGGAGCAAACAGG
RNAcentral lists this ribosomal RNA (253 nucleotides) under uncultured bacterium. RNAcentral's name for it is "partial 16S ribosomal RNA". It matches the Rfam family "Bacterial small subunit ribosomal RNA", at positions 524 to 776 of the family's 1533-position model. The record is from RNAcentral.